AACGAACGCUGGCGGCGCGCCUAAUACAUGCAAGUCGAGCGAGAAGGUGUAGCAAUACACUUGUAAAGCGGCGAACGGGUGAGGAAUGCAUGGGUAACCUACCCUCGAGUGGGGAAUAACUAGCCGAAAGGUUAGCUAAUACCGCAUACGUUUCCGGAACUUCGGUUUCGGAAAGAAAGCAAUACCGUGGGUAUUGCGCUCCUGGAUGGGCUCAUGUCCUAUCAGCUUGUUGGUGAGGUAACGGCUCACCAAGGCUUCGACGGGUAGCUGGUCUGAGAGGACGAUCAGCCACACUGGCACUGCGACACGGGCCAGACUCCUACGGGAGGCAGCAGUAAGGAAUAUUGCGCAAUGGACGAAAGUCUGACGCAGCGACGCCGCGUGGGGGAUGAAGGUCUUCGGAUUGUAAACCCCUUUCGGGAGGGAAGAUGGAGUGGGUAACACCUUGGACGGUACCUCCAGAAGCAGCCACGGCGUAACUUCGUGCCAGCAGCCGCGGUAAU
This 503-nucleotide ribosomal RNA is filed under the name uncultured bacterium. RNAcentral describes it as "bacterial SSU rRNA". It matches the Rfam family "Bacterial small subunit ribosomal RNA", at positions 29 to 524 of the family's 1533-position model. The record is from RNAcentral.